Molecule: ribosomal RNA, 406 nt
Filed under: uncultured bacterium
Lineage: Bacteria
Description: partial 16S ribosomal RNA
Rfam family: Bacterial small subunit ribosomal RNA
Source: RNAcentral
AUUGAACGCUGGCGGCAGGCCUAACACAUGCAAGUCGAGCGAGCGGCGGACGGGUGAGUAAUGUAUUGGGAUCUGCUUGACAGACCGGGAUAACUACUGGAAACGGUGGCUAAUACCGCAUACGAUCGGAUGAACCCAUAUGGGAGUAGCUAGUGGGUGGGGUAAAGGCUCACCUGGGCGACGAUCUCUAGCUGGUCUGAGCGGAUGAUCAGCCACACUGGGACUGAGACACGGCCCAGACUCCUACGGGAGGCAGCAGUGGGGAAUGUUGCACAAUGGGCGCAAGCCUGAUGCAGCCAUGCCGCGUGAAUGAAGAAGGCAUUAGGGUUGUAAAGUACUUUCAGCGGGGAGGCGUUAACCGAAGAAGAAGCAACGGCUAACUCCGUGCCAGCAGCCGCGGUAAUAC